This 423-nucleotide ribosomal RNA is filed under the name uncultured bacterium. RNAcentral describes it as "bacterial SSU rRNA". It matches the Rfam family "Bacterial small subunit ribosomal RNA", at positions 355 to 786 of the family's 1533-position model. The record is from RNAcentral.
UGGGGAAUCUUGCGCAAUGGGCGAAAGCCUGACGCAGCGACACCGCGUGGGGGACGAAGGCCUUUCAGGUCGUAAACCCCUUUCGGCAGGGACGAAGCGAUCUCGUGACGGUACCUGCAGAAGAAGCCUCGGCUAACUACGUGCCAGCAGCCGCGGUAACACGUAGGAGGCGAGCGUUGUCCGGAAUCAUUGGGCGUAAAGAGCGCGCAGGCGGCUUGGCAAGUCGGGUGUGAAAUCCCGGGGCUCAACCCCGGGACUGCAUUCGAUACUGUCAGGCUAGAGGUAGGUAGGGGAGAUCGGAAUUCCUGGUGUAGCGGUGAAAUGCGUAGAUAUCAGGAGGAACACCGGUGGCGAAGGCGGAUCUCUGGGCCUUACCUGACGCUCAGGCGCGAAAGCUAGGGGAAGCGAACAGGAUUAGAUACC